UUGACCUAACCACUUAAACAACGCACACAAAUACACAAUCUUAUCUCCUUCUUUCAACACAUAGUCUCUUUAAGAGAAAAACCCCAACACAUAGUCUCUUUAUCUUCCCAUUAAUUCUUGUUCUCGUCCCUAGCACAACAGUCCUGCUUCAGAUCUCGAAUUCACACACUCCAGUCAUAUCAUCAUUUGAAUCUCUUCCGAGUCCUUCUUCUCCAAUUCCUCAGAUCCGAAUCCAGAAACAUCACUUCUCGGAUUCUUCCUCCAUCCCCGUCGUCUUUGUCCUCCAUGGCUCCAUCAUCUUUUCUUAGAUCUGUUGUCGUUUCCACAUCUUAGGCAGUGAGUUUGUCCCUAAUUCUUCUUGGUGUUUGAGAUUUUGAUUUAGGGUUCACCAAUAAUCUGGAAUUUGGGAGUAACGCGAAAGGAGAGUCUCCAAAUUACGAGAGUGGGCGGAUCUUUCAAGACCACACAACCACAACACUCGCCACAGAUUCAUGGUUGGAGAUUAUUACUCUACAUUUUAUAUGAUUCAAGAACAAAACAAGAGAAAGCUCACUGUGUACAACUCAUGUCACUUUCCAUCUACACAUCUACUAAUUAAUAAUAUUCUCCUGCUGAAUGUAUCUCUAAAAUUUGUUUACUGUAUAUGAAGGUUUUUUCUUAUGUUAUUUAUUAUAAAACUCAUUUCCAUGUUA
Long non-coding RNA from Camelina sativa (false flax), 692 nucleotides. RefSeq lists it as uncharacterized. NCBI's taxonomy places the organism in Eukaryota, Viridiplantae, Streptophyta, Magnoliopsida, Brassicales, Brassicaceae. The record is from RefSeq and is a predicted model, not a curated record.